RNAcentral lists this long non-coding RNA (225 nucleotides) under Capsicum annuum. Its description in RNAcentral is "long non-coding RNA (CANN_LNC007177)". Lineage: Eukaryota; Viridiplantae; Streptophyta; Magnoliopsida; Solanales; Solanaceae. The record is from RNAcentral.
UGACCAUUAGGAUGCCUCCAGUACAUAUCAACUGGGAUCGACCCAUGCUAGGCUUAUGCCCCUGGGAUACCACCCAUAAACACAUAAAUAGGGAUCGACCCAUGCUAGGCUUAUGCCCCUGGGAUACCACCCGAUAAGAAAGAACUCCCAUCACUUAGUUCAAUUAAUCUUUGAGAUUGUUAUUUCGGUCGCCACCACAUUUUUGAUACUUUGAAACAAUGAUAC